AACUAGAGGCUCUCAAGAGCCUGUGUCGCUCACCUUGGUCUAUGUGCAUAUUUAACAAUGGACACAGAUAAAUUCAUAACAAAAUUGUGUUUUGAUGAUGGUGAUGUGUUUAUAGAUCUUACUUUACCGAACAUUCUUGUUGCUACAAUUAUCUCUAUCUAUAAUGAACUUGGCCCAGUAAUUACAGUGGAAAAUAUUUUCUAAAAAUCUAAAAAAAUUUAUGAAAAAUGUAAAAAAAUUACUAUAAAGGGAAAUAACUCCUAAAGGGGUCA
RNAcentral lists this long non-coding RNA (272 nucleotides) under Mytilus galloprovincialis (Mediterranean mussel). Lineage: Eukaryota; Metazoa; Mollusca; Bivalvia; Mytilida; Mytilidae. The record is from RNAcentral.